Molecule: long non-coding RNA, 10068 nt
Organism: Pipra filicauda (Wire-tailed manakin)
Lineage: Eukaryota; Metazoa; Chordata; Aves; Passeriformes; Pipridae
Exons: 4
Source: RefSeq, a predicted model, not a curated record
CUUUUAAAUUGCUUUUCAGCACCAGUGAAAGAUGGUAUUCCUCGUAAUUCUUCCUAAGAAUAUGAAUGGACCUCCUUGUUGCUGUAAUCUCAAGAAACGAUAAUGAGUCUUCCUUAUAGCCAUAGGGUGAUCACAUUUUGCAGCAUGUGGGGGCUAAAACUUUUCUUAGAGCAGCAUGCUUGUGAGUAAAUGAAUGCUUUGUUAGUGGAAAGCCCACGUUUGUUUGCAAGGCCACAUGUGUGUCAAAGCAGGACCUGCAAAAUACCAGCCAUGAUUCAGGCACUCUCAUGACACUGAAAAACUAAAAGUGAAUGUUGCUGAGAACCAUAAGGAAGAACAUUAUGUAACCAUCCUCUUUUUAUUCUACUCUUAAAUGGCUCAUCCUCUGUGAGCAGCAGGACUAUAAAUUUUCAUGAUAGUAAAAAUGGAGUCUGAGUGAAUUGAUUCCAAAAUCUCCUUGCUGGCCUCGGUGUAGCCUAAAAGCCACACAUAUCUAAAUGGUAAAAUGCCCUCUGGUUGACAGUGAAGCAAGUUCAUAACCCUAGUUAAUGAAAUCACACAAAAGCAGGCUUUCUCAACCAGUUAGGCUUUAAGUAUAACAGUUUUUAUGCCUUCUAUCUCUGUUCAUUCCACCUUGUCAUAAUCUUUUCCAGCUUAUCACCACAUACUGUCUAAUUAGAAAAGUCUUCUUAGAGAAUUGUUUUAUCUUCAUUUUUCCAGGAAAAAUCCUAUGUCAUGGCCCUUCUUAAAUAAUACAGGAUUGAAAAACCAAGAGGAAGAUGAUCAAGGAGUUGCAUUGGUUUGACUCAAUCAAAUUAUUUUAGUCAAUGCAGUCAAUGACGAAAGCUACACUGAUCAAAAUGGAAAGAAUGGCAGAAAAAACAACAACGGAUUAGAACAAUUGUGCAAAGACAGAUCUCCUUCUCAAUCAUUGGCUUUGGAAACAGCUCGUUGCCUAAAGGGCUUUGGAGGGCAGAUCCUGGGAUCAGAGGAAUCUCUUUCCAAGUGGCUGAAGAACUGGACAGAAAUCAGGGACAUGUGUGGUGAAAGGAGGACCGAGGAGGGAGGGAAGCCUUUUGUAUGUGUUUUAUUCUUUUCAUAGGGAGAAAAAAAAAAGAUGAUACUAAAGGAUAAGAUGCUUGAGAAGAAAAACUAAAGCAUGGGAAUGGACAUGCUUUAGGGCAGAAGAGAAAGGAGGGAGCGUAGCAAGAAGAUACGGAAGAGAACAAGACUACUGAAAGGGCAUCCAUGUAGAAAACAGUCACCCAGGACAAGAGUUCAUUGCAGUUUUUCCUCUCUUGAGGUGUGUGUGGGAACACCCGAUAAGAAGCACUCUAAAAAGCUGCUGGUGUUAUGGAGAUGGUGUUUAUAGACUCUCACUACGAUAUUAGCAGCCAGCUGGGUCAAGUGUCACAGACCAUACCGCUCUUGUUUCCUGAAGGUGUUUUCAUUUGUAGGAAUCAUUAGUGCAACUUUACACUCAUUGAGUAACUCAAACAGUGAAAACUUGGACUGGUUUUGUAGCCACUUACAUUAACAAUGUCUUUCAGUUAUUUCCUUCUCAGGACUUUAAGGAAGUGUGACAAAUACUUGGUAGGUCACCCCAGCAAUGCUUUCUACAAUUGUUUGGCAGCUCUUGAAAAUCUGAGUCAUGUCCUUUCCUGUUUCCAAUUUUCACUGGGGAACUCCCUCUUAGUACUUGACACUUCACCACUCCAACAAUACCCAUGCUUACUUGCACACCACAAAACAUUUCUCAUUUUAUCCCAAGUGACCUACCUCUGCAAAUAUUUCAGUAUUAUAAACAGUCAAGGCCCAUUUUUGAGCAAAACUCUAACUAAAUACUGAGCUUGCCUCCCUUGUUUUUUUGGGGGGUUUGUUGUUGUUUGUUUUUUAGUGAUUACAUUCAUAUGAGCCAACUUAAAUCAAUUUUGAACCAAGACGCUGCAAAGAAAAGUCCAUGGACUGGAUACUAAUCAUUGUUUAUUUCUCUUUUUUUUUUACAUUGUUAAUUGCAUUUUCUGUUCCUUUUUGGCAGGCAUAAUUAUCAAAUAUACUAAUCAAAUGUCAAAGUGGAGAUCUUUCAUCCUUAAUUUUUUUGCUUUACAAAAAUAAGUGUUGCCUAAAGUUCGUAGUAUAGUAUUUAAACACGUGUGGGAGUAGAAUUGUUUUAGACCACACCACAGACAAAUACCAGAAUGGUCAAACCCUGCAUUUUGUUUGCCCAGACAGCUUGGCUGUCUCUCUGUUGUCUCUGAGGAUUGUAGACAUGCUUCAUCUUAAAGAUGCUGGUAAAGUAACUAAUCUGAUUCCGUCUCUGUUGAAUUCCAGUUUAUGGUAUUUGAGUUUAAGAAGUUAUUUCCUAGUCAAAGGUAUGGGUUAAUUGUUGUUUUAUUCUUUUCCCCUCCUGUUGUUUAGGGAAAGCUGGUUUUGCUCAGCCUAAUCAGCUCAACAGUCAAACAUUGAAUCUUCCACAUUUUCAAUAAAACUGAUCCCUAAAAAAGUGCUAAAGUAGUAAGGUGAGACCAGUUGUGGCAGUGGUCAUUCUAAAUAUAGUUUUGCAAAUCUCCACAUGCAGUUUUCUCAGUGUAGUUUGAAUAUUUUUUUUCCUUUAACUAUCUUCUAUUUUCGUGGCAAAUAUUUUUGGAAAUGAAUAUUUUUAAAAUAAAAUUUUAAGUUAAUAAGAGGCUUUUCCUCUUCAAACUAGCCACUGCAGUAUCUGCAGACAAUUAUUAAUUAUCUCUUCUUCAGACUUGCCUGUCUGUCUUUCCAAAGACACAAUUCUGACACUUCCCAAACCAGAGGCAGGAAGGAAGAACAGUCAAUUGCCAUUGCAGAUGACUCUGAAAAUGAACAAUUCAGUUUUCAUUCCAAAUUGCCAAUGAAAGGUAAUUGCUAAGCUCUCCACAGAACAGCAAUCUGAAAAAUGUUGGCUUGCUAAUUUCAACAAAUUGGGACUGGGGAAGAUUAAGAAAAUGUAGACUUCCAAUUUCAAAAGCCCCUGAGUUUGCCAUAGAGGGUGGGGCUUGUUUGUUCCUUUUCAGCCCAUGUAGUGGGAUGGCAGGAGAGGGAGGGGAGCAUUUGAGAUUCUUUGAUUUCUAGACUACUGGGACAAGGAAUCUGAAAAUCCUGGACACUCCUUCCCUGGAGGGCUGCCAGGAUCUGUAGGGCUCCUAAUAUUUCUGACUUUGAAAAAAAAAAAUAAAAAAUCUGCCAAGAGGGUUGACUGUAGGCCAAGACAGCACAGAAGCACUCCCCAAAGUCUGUCUGCUGAACUUCUGAGAUUUCAAUGAGUAAAUCAGCAAGAGUUCAAGCAGGAUCCCAAGGGAAAAGUGCCUCUUGGCUUUGAUUUAAAAUGUAUUCCUUAAAAGUUCCCUAACAACUUUAAUAGUAGAUGAGGAAAAGCAAGCAGUCUGCGUAACAGUAGCUGAACAUCCCAGGGAACGUUGCCAGCAGUGACUGGCUGCAGUCAGAUGCAGCUAAUACAAACCUCCUCACAGAAUUUCUGCCUCUUAGUGUCUCCCAGUGACAUCACAUCUGUACUGGCUUAAAAGUAAACUGAUCCCCUUCCUUAGUUUUACAGCUACAGCUUGUCCUGAUCUUCUUAUUCCUAAGCUCUGAAAUACUUUCAGAGUCAUCUGACAGUUGUCCACAGGACACACUGAUCCCAGCAAUUGAAAAGUGAUCUGGAUCACAAUCUGUCUGAACUGAACUGCAGUAUUGGCUCAAACUCUCCUUUUUCAAACACUUUGGACGUAGAAGUUAUUGUCAAAACAUAGGUAAUGUUUGUUGAAAAAUUAACUAAACUGUGCAGUGUCAAAACCCCACCCUUUUCAACAAUUUUUAAGUCAUGUUUUUCUUUCCCUUCAUAUAGUCUUGUCUUCUUCCUCUGUCUUUGGAAGACCUGAAAAAUCAAGAUGUAUGUCAUCAUUUAUGCGGCAGCAGUUUGGUGUCUUGGUCAAGACAUGACUGAACAUGUUUUGAAGAGGGUAGACAAAUCACCUUUUUUGUUUAUAGAAAGCAAAAAGUUUCUGCUUUGAAUGCCAUGAUGUGCCACUCUGUUGCAUUCACUUUGUAGAAGCUUCUUAACACUGAAAGACAUUUUCAUAAAUUUUAAGAGAGCACUCUAAAAAUAUCAGGUAAGUUCUAUUAACAAGUGAUAAGUUAGUAUGAAGGUUUUAGUAAUCAUCCACUUUGCAGGCAUUUUAGAUGGAAGAAAAUCUGUUCAGAAAGCUGUGUUACCUACCACACAUGCUGAAACACUGUCUGUUCACAAGAAGACACAGCAGUGGAUGAAUCCCUUUUGGGAGAACAGCCUGUUGGAGUAGAGAACUGGAAACAUUGGAAAGAGUAAAUGUGAAGAAGCUCUGUCUUGAAAAAGGUAGUCUUACGAGUCCUCUUCUUUCUUAAAAUAUAUAUUUAAUCCUUAGUAUGAUUUUUGCAAAGACCACCUCUGCUUCUGUCAAAAAAAUGAAACUACUGCAACUGUUAGCAUCCUGAUCCUGUGCUAUUUGCCUCUUCUGGAAAGGUCAAGGGAUCCUUCUUUCCAUUAAAGUGGACCUUCUGACUUGCAGCAUCAAUGAUCCAGAUUCUGCUCUCAAAUUGCUCUGUCAUUAUCUCUCUGUUGUUUUCUGUUGUAAAUCACUGAUUGUGAUUGCCUGUAAACAACAGUGGCACGAUAGUACUGGAGUAAUUGUCAUGUUUGUUCCACGUGAUCAUGACACUUCAACAUGAGAGGAGUUACAAGAACAUGCCCACCUGUGGACUCUACUGUUGAUUUUGGAUCAAUCUUUGCGUUACCUGAAGGUAGAUGUUCACUUUAUAAAGCAUUGUCUGGUUUAUCAGUUCAGCUUUAAGUAUAUGUUUAAGCAAAACUUACUGGCAACACUCCACCAAAAUUGUUUGCUGUUGGAUACGUCCUGACAGCUCCUACCAAGCACAGUAAUGGGAAAUCCUCAACAGAGCCAUUUAUUUAAUUAGAAUUAUUUUGAAAUAACUAUUAUGUAUGUACAUUAGAGUUGAUUUAAGUAGAGACUUAUGACCAUUCCAUAUAUUGUGUUACCCAAGUUGCUCUAGCUCAUGGGACAACUGGAUAAACUGGCAAAGUGAAGCUGUUUGUCACAGGCAAUUUAAUUCUCUAAUUAGCUUUUCCUUCUUCCCAUAUGCUUGCAGGGCAAGAAUCUGCUCUGGUUUGGUUACAUUCACAAGAAAGACAAAAGGUCUUUUGGAAAACUGAACUUCCCAAUUACUAAAAUAGAAAAGAAAAGAUACAAAACUAAAAACAAACACACAAAGAGUCUUUAGGAGGAAAAAAAGGAGGUUGUUAAAAUAAGCAGGUGGAUUCUUUUCUUAGCUAUAUUGAUUUAAAUAAAAGUUAUUUCAGUGACAUGAAAUAUAAAUGUAUAUAAGAAUAACUGAAGGGCAGCAUCUGACUUUCAUUGCCUCUGUUGCAGUGAUAGCUGGGCUUCACUUGUGCUUGCUGGAGAUAAAAUACUUCCCCAUGGUCAUACCAAGUUCAACAACCAGCUCAAAAGCACAAGUAAUGAUGCAAGCAUCAGCUGUGCCAGGGAGAGAGUAAUAUAACUGAAAGCUAUUUACUUCUGGUGAUAUUUCUGUAAGAGAAAAUGUGAGUUUGCAGCCUUUUCUUAGCUGGGUUGCUACAAACACUGUCCAACUACAAAAACCUCCUUUUUUGUGUGUGUAUUUGUAGGCAUUCUGACUUAGCUCUUCCAUGCUUUUUAAGGGAAGAAGGAGAGAGGUGAGAUGCCACAGGGCUUCAAAUGACGCCAAUUAUGCGGGAAGAAUCCCACUCUAUGAGGCAUAGCCAUGCAACUUUGCAUGUUGAGUUUCUUGUUCAAAAAUGUCCAUGAAACAUUUCCUUCAUGCUUCACCAAUUUAUGUUGUGCCAAGGGUCCUUUCCAGAGCUUUACAACGAACUCGAGGCUUGUAAGAAAAGGCCAAAAAGCCAAGGAAUAAUGUGCUACAGACAGAGGGGCAGAAAGCAGAACAAGGGUACCAACAAGUCUGCAGGUUAUGCCAAGAAAUUUGUUAAAUUCACAGCCAGUUUGUAUCCCUUUGUUCUCCUGCCGCAUUGUUUAGCUGCUCUCACAUGACAGACUGUCCAUUCUCAGUGUAACCCUUCUCUGCACCUUUGCUAGAACUGUUUUCUUCUCCAGAACUGUUUUCCUCUCAAGUGUGAGAGCACAAAUCAUAUACUGUGUUCUGGGGGAAGCACCACAGAGCGUUUUGUACAACUGCGUUAGUGCUUCCCUGCCUCUACUAGCAAAAUACCAUCUAAGGCAUGUUCUCCUCUUCUCUGAAUGCCUGAAGAUUUCAUUCAAUCAUCUUUUGCAUGUCCUAGCUCAUUUGACUUUUGACAAAACUGUCCUUAAUCCUAUGCAUCUCUAUCUCUACACAACAGCUAUCUUUGUUGACCAGGAUUAUUUGCUAUUUCUGACUCCUAAGAACCGCUCUAUAGUGAAGUUUUUUUCCACUUAUUCAGGCCUAAAAUACUUCUCAGUAAGAUUUUUUUUCUUGAUGGGAAUAGUUUUUAUAUCUUCGGUCUAGAUAUAUUCCAGUCUUCCUCCACAUUCAAGUCUUUCAUCUCUUCAGUCCAGGUAAAUCUGCUAGUGAGUUUCCUUAAUUUGACAGUUUGCCCUUUUGAAGCUGAAAUAUUUUAUUACCAACUUGCUUCUCUUUGUUAUUCUGUCCAUAGAAAUGCAAACAGUUGCUGAGUGCUCAGCCCAAUGGAGUUUUUUAUGGCCAGUUCUUUUUUAGUGUCUUCAUUACUUACUAAUUUGGGGUUGUCUCUUUUUGUCUCAGUGACUACUGAGAAGAAAUCUGGCAGCUAUCACACACAUGGCUAGCUGGGCCCAAGUUUAUUAUUAGAACCAUGUUUCCCAAAUAGGGUAUCUGGGAAGUUAAAUUUGACCAUGGCACAAUUCCCAGUGGUGUUUCUUUAAUAACAUUUCAGUGACAGACUUCUUCUUGCACCAUUGUAUUUUAGCUGCAGACAAGAAAGGCCAGGUUUCAAUGAAGUGUCCAAAUCAAAAACAACCACUCCCCAAAAAGUAGAGGCUGUGAGCAGGUGGCUUGGGCUUCUGGAAGUGGACCUCCCUGUUCCCAUACAAUGGGGAAUUUUAUGAUGAAUGAAAUGAUGAUGAGUUAAGUGACAGAUGGCUUUUAAUAAAAAAAGAUCACUUGAUGGUUUCCACUUGUGUGGAUGAAAUGGCUAAACACUUAAAUAGAAGGAGUAUUGUACUAAGAUUGCAAAUGACUUGGAUAUUGGUCUAUUGAUUGUAUCCACAUGAGUCAGGUCUGGCUUCCAUUUGGAACAGGAGCAGAGCAGUAAAAUACAAAAGUUUGAUCCACAAGCUAUUGUUCUCCUGAGUUACAGAGACCAAGCCAACCUUUUCUGCCAUAGGGCUUCUCUGUUCAGCCUGGAGUCCCGUGGAGGGAGGAUUCCUUCUCCCGUGCCACCAGCCCAGUUUUGAGUGGGUACCUACUGGUUCUUCCAACCUGUUGCAAGUGACCAUUUGCUCAUUAGCAACGGGCAUUACCUGGCAGAAGUUGUAAGUGGAUAAGUCAGUCAUGGGAAGAAAUGCAUUUAAAAUUUUUGCACAUUUUGCCUACAUCCAAGACACGGAGUGCAACUUGAACUCUUAAAUGUAAGAAACAUGCAAAGCACUCUUCUUCUCAGCCCAUGUCUGUGUCUCAUUGAAAUUAUUCUGCUGUUUACAUAUGACAAGGCUUCUAGCAGCUUGUCAUAACAUUUCUGACUUACAGUGGCUCACCUAGCCUUCUCACCCUCCUUCUUCCUGGAAUCUAAUCAUAGCUAUUUGUAUCACUUAUAGCCUGUUUUGUGUUCUGACUCGCUACAUCAUAUUUUCAAGUAAAGACCCAAACCGAAGAGUACCUGGCAGAAAAACUGUGUACCUGUUCCAAGAUCUUAGGCUGCGAACCAGUAAAGGAAUCCAGGCCAGUUAACACUGGCCAAAAUUCGAAGUGGAAAGGUUAUAUAUCUGAGAGCUGCAGCAGCUGCCUCAGCACUUGUAAUAAUGACUUGGCUGUACAGGUGAGGCCAGCAGGACGCAGGACAGAAACUUGGGGCCAGAAUCACAGGCUGUGCAAUGGGGAGCCAGCAGGAAAAACAGAGAUGUCUUUUUCAUAAAAUGCAUAGAGAAAGAAAUAGGGCAUUAAGCUGUGCUUCAAAUGGCAAAGGCAUCUCACCUAUUGGCCUCUACUUAGAAAGGAAACAAGGAGAGUGGAUUCUGGCAUGGUACUGUAGGAAUAACAGAGCUAUCAUAAAAGGACAGGUAUUUCAUCUUCUAGAAGCAGCUUAUGUCAGUCAUCUGAGCACACAAGGCCCAGUGGGUAGAGACCCAGAGCCACAGGAUCAAGGGCUUCUUGUUCUCUCUGAGCUCGGAGCCCACCUGCAUUUGGCACAGGGGAUGUGACCUAGCAGCAGACUGCAAAUAAGGGUCUCCCACAGCCCUGCCACCCCCUAGCUCUGCCCCGUGCACCCCCUCACCUCUCUCCUCACAGUCUUCCCUUGUGCCAGAUGCCACAGCCAACAUCCUCUGUGAACAGCAGUCCACUGCGUGCCUGUAAGCUACAGGGAGGAGCUGCAUCCCAGGCAGAUGGGUAGGAGAACUGGAUCUUGAGAGGUCUGUCUCCUGCCAGGGGAGGAAGCACCAGCUCUGGCCUGCUUUGCCUGGAGAAAGGGAUGCUUUCAGCACUAUGAAGCUUCAGUUUGGGUCACCCUUGGAUGCACAUAGAGGUGGAGUCACACCAGUACACUGGCAUCCAUUGGGAGGAUGAGGGGGCAAGUGGAGGAUUUAAGUUCCAUAUGACAGUGUAGUUAAAUGGAAACCAGGCAACAAUUGGUGGGGAGAAAUCUGAGGUUUAAUGUUGCUUUUGACCUAGUGAAAACAACUGGCUGCUCAGGACAUAUUUUCUCUAUUUUUUCAAACUCUUUCCCCUUUUCCUUCCUGCUGUUUUACUUGCAAUGCUCUUCAAGUGCGUGUUUUGACCUAUUUCUUCUGCUUAUGCCUAAUAAAGUACAAGCAUGCUUAGUGCCUAUUAGAUAAUGUAUUUCUUCAUAGGUUUGCAGAUGCUCUUAUGUAUAGACACAUGCCCUGAAGGCUUCUCUUUGGUUGGCAAAUAGCACUUCCUAAUGUGCUCACCACUUAAGAUUGAGUUUGACUUGCUGGCGGGGAGGCUGUCUCAGCCUACCUGGGUUACCUCUGCAACAUAUUUUGCUGUCAUAUGUUUUGUUUGUUUGUGUCCUGUCUCCCCAGUGGAGUAGAGGACCACUGCACAGCCUGAGGCAGGAGAAAGCACCCUGCAAUUCCCAGAAAAGGCAGUCCCUAGUGACUGUGAAAGCAGUCACAGCCUAACGUAGUUCUUUGGUUGACCCGGUCUUGAAAAAGUGAUCUUAAAACUAGGUGGGGGUUGCAUGUUGUGAGUUCCAAACACUGUGGGUUCUGAUUAGAUGUGCUACAGUCACUCACCAGAUUUUUUUAAAGCUCCUGGGACAGGCUUUAGCAAGUUGUCUCCUGGCAGAGUCUCUGGAAGAAAUAUCAUGCAACCACAAAGCAGUCACUGCUGCUUACUACAACUGGGGCAGUAAGUGUAGCCGUGACUAGUCCCCAGUCAUCUGGGGCAAGGGGAUUGAGAGAAGGUCUACAAAACAGAGUUGUGCUCAGAUUUUGGGGCUCAACAGCAGAGAUUUGGGCAUGUAUGGGACUCAGGGCAGCGGUCAUGGUGUGAUGUAAACAUUAGGAUCAGACUGUGAUGGUAGAUAGUAAAGCUAGAAGACGAGUGACAAAGGGAUGUUAUUGCAGUCUGUAUUUCUAUAAAUGCAUUCAUCUCCCAAAGUAAUUAAUGAACGGUGUCAGGUCUGUUGCAUUUUUAGCUCUAAGACCAGAGGUGUAUGAUAGACUGCAUGGUGCAUUGCCUACACAGAGCUUCAUUAGUCAUCUUGCUUGUUGGAUUGCUGGGCAAGAAAUCAACUUUCCAUUCUCUUUAUUCCUUGUUCUCCACAGUUUUGCUUUUCCCACGUUCAAC